UACGAAGGACCCGAGCGUUAUCCGGAUUUAUUGGGUUUAAAGGGUGCGUAGGCGGACUUGCAAGUCAGUGGUGAAAUCCCUCAGCUUAACUGAGGAACUGCCAUUGAAACUGCUUGUCUUGAGUACAUUUGAGGUGGGCGGAAUGUGUCAUGUAGAGGUGAAAUUCUUAGAUAUGACACAGAACACCAAUUGCGAAGGCAGCUCACUAAACUGUAACUGACGCUGAUGCACGAAAGCGUGGGGAUCAAACAGG
This 253-nucleotide ribosomal RNA is filed under the name uncultured bacterium. Its description in RNAcentral is "partial 16S ribosomal RNA". It matches the Rfam family "Bacterial small subunit ribosomal RNA", at positions 524 to 776 of the family's 1533-position model. The record is from RNAcentral. RNAcentral also lists the same sequence under 1 other name.